This 383-nucleotide ribosomal RNA is filed under the name uncultured bacterium. RNAcentral describes it as "bacterial SSU rRNA". It matches the Rfam family "Bacterial small subunit ribosomal RNA", at positions 30 to 416 of the family's 1533-position model. The record is from RNAcentral.
AUUGAACGCUGGCGGCAUGCCUUACACAUGCAAGUCGAACGGCAGCGCGGGGCAACCUGGCGGCGAGUGGCGAACGGGUGAGUAAUAUAUCGGAACGUACCCUGGAGUGGGGGAUAACGUAGCGAAAGUUACGCUAAUACCGCAUACGAUCUAAGGAUGAAAGCAGGGACCGCAAGGCCUUGUGCUCCUGGAGCGGCCGAUAUCUGAUUAGCUAGUUGGGGGGUAAAGGGCCUACCAAGGCAUCGAUCAGUAGCUGGUCUGAGAGGACGACCAGCCACACUGGAACUGAGACACGGUCCAGACUCCUACGGGAGGCAGCAGUGGGGAAUUUUGGACAAUGGGCGCAAGCCUGAUCCAGCAAUGCCGCGUGAGUGAAGAAGGCC